This is a long non-coding RNA of Passer domesticus (house sparrow), 1780 nucleotides long. RefSeq lists it as uncharacterized. Lineage: Eukaryota; Metazoa; Chordata; Aves; Passeriformes; Passeridae. The transcript is spliced from 2 exons. The record is from RefSeq and is a predicted model, not a curated record.
UGUGGUUUUGGUUUCAUUCUCCUGUUCUGUUUCAGCAAAGGGAUGAAGUGCUGGUUUGGAGAUGCAAGGGCUCAGCAGCACAAGGCUCAUAACCAGCCCUGGUUGCACAAACGCUCGCGGAGCCAGGCAAGCACCACCUCCAUUCAGAUUCUACACUCUGUUUUUCUUCUGAGUCUCAGUGGUGGAAAUAGCUGAAUCUGCCAUGAAAUAAUAAGGACUUUUGGUCUUUGUAGUGACUAUGAGCUUAUGGACUGUGGAAUUGUGUGAAGGACAGAACAGUCCCGACAAGAGAAAUGUGUUUAAGUGCACAACAUCACUCAAUUAUCCUUGUUUCUUCCACUCUAUAAAAAUCCAUUGAACCCAAUUUCCUGCAUGAAAACCUGACCAUUGGUGUGCCUGAAACUGCUCUCAGUAGCUUUGCCCCAGAUCUGCACAUCGUCUCCUGCACGAGUUCCUUCCUUAAAAUUACUCUGAUGGAUCCAAAGGAAGCAAAAAUCUGCUAAAAUGAACUUCUGUGCUGCUUUAACAUGUUUUUGAAAUAAUCCUGGGAACGACUGGGCAGGACCAACACAUGUGGAACUCUGGAUACCUUCCCCAAGAUUGCCUCUGAAGGAAGAUUUUCCUGAGCUCAUUCUCAGACACAGGAAUUGUUGCAGGGAUACUGAACAGGGGGAGCUGAACCAGAUUUCUGGGUGGAUAAUUCUGAAACAGCUGCUCCUGAAGGGUUCUCACGAUGGGGAAAUGUUCUGGAGGAAACUUCUCAGCAAUUGUUGAAAAAGCUGGCAAAACCAAUCAACAGAGGAGUAAAAGCUGUCAAGAAGGAUGUCCUUUCUUCCUCCCUCUCCAAAAAAUGCAUGAAGCUAGACCAGAUACAAUUAUAAAAUACAAUUCCCCCAGAGCCAGGGAAAUUACCCGACUGGCACAGUGUGUUGUAGGUUCUGAGUAAGGGCAGCACUGACACCUGGCAACAGCAGCCACUCUUUGCUUCAGUGACCUCCUAGGAACUUGAAGCACUGAAGAACCCCCUUCUCCUGAGACAGCUGGACUUCCUAAAGAGGUCAGUCUAUGGGGAAGGACUGUGCAUGACCUCUGCCAGAAGUGGGGUGACUCCUACCCCCCUGCUCCUUCCCAUCCCUCUGCGUUUUGUUCAUACCCAAACUUCACCUAAACUGGUUCACCCCCAUGCUGACAGAAGCUUUUCUGCUAAACUCCUGCUCACGCCCUGCACUUGGGAAGGGUGCAAGUCAGGCAGAGAGGCAGCACAGCCAGACCCUGCUCAUCCCUCAGCUCCCUUCCCCGGCACAGAGAGCACGGCCAGUGUCAGCUGAAACGCGCAAUUAGUGCCCCUCUAGCACGAGCAGCUCAAACUGUAACAUCAUGCCAGCCGUGAUUAAGAGUGAUACAGCACAUCAUCAUUGUCAACACUAUUCAACCAAUGUAAACCUUAGUUAGAAAUGUACUUGUCAGAGAAAAAUGCGCCUUUGAUUUCUAUUACACUUUCCCCAGUAAUUGCUGUCAUCAGUGGCAGGUUAUUAUUACAGUUGAAUAGAGUUUCAGUAAUUACUUUUGCACAGAUUCUAACAGCUUUUAGAUUGAAUGAUAUUCUGACAGUUUGAAUACUCUUGACAACAAUUACCUUUUUCCUGGUUAACACUGAUUCAGGAAAAUUAAAAAUUAAAUCUGUUCAGAGGAAACACUUAUGUAUGGCACUAGUAAGUGGGCUGAUACAAAAAUGUGUAAAUUACAGAAUGACUUAGAAUAAAAAGUUCUUUUGCUCUUC